Molecule: long non-coding RNA, 251 nt
Filed under: Jatropha curcas
Lineage: Eukaryota; Viridiplantae; Streptophyta; Magnoliopsida; Malpighiales; Euphorbiaceae
Description: long non-coding RNA (JCUR_LNC000673)
Source: RNAcentral
GGUCUCCAAAUUGAAUGAAAUCAGAUUCAUUAGAAAGCUAAGACAAAAUGAUACAAAUGUUCAGAAGGGACCACAGCCCAGAUCAAAGAGUAAGAUAGCAAACAAAAGCUCAGAACACAGACCAACAGAUCAGACCUGAUUCAGCAGAACCAAGUCCAAUGUUUCUUGAAUUCCUACUUCACCAAACACUCAAAUGAAACCAAUCCAGAACGAGAGAAUUAUCAAGACACAGGGAAACAACUUUUAUGAAG